Molecule: ribosomal RNA, 443 nt
Filed under: uncultured Oscillospiraceae bacterium
Lineage: Bacteria; Bacillati; Bacillota; Clostridia; Eubacteriales; Oscillospiraceae
Description: partial 16S ribosomal RNA
Source: RNAcentral
GACUACUCGGGUAUCUAAGCCUGUUUGCUCCCCACACUUUCGAGCCUCAGCGUCAGUUAGAGCCCAGUAGGCCGCCUUCGCCACUGGUGUUCCUCCGAAUAUCUACGCAUUUCACCGCUACACUCGGAAUUCCGCCUACCUCUACUCCACUCAAGAAAAACAGUUUCAACUGCAGUUUAUGGGUUAAGCCCAUAGUUUUCACAGCUGACUUGCUCUCCCGCCUGCGCUCCCUUUACACCCAGUAAUUCCGGACAACGCUUGCCACCUACGUAUUACCGCGGCUGCUGGCACGUAGUUAGCCGUGGCUUCCUCCUCGGCUACCGUCAUUUCUUUCUUCACCAAAGACAGAGGUUUACAAUCCGAAAACCGUCUUCCCUCACGCGGCGUUGCUGCAUCAGGCUUUCGCCCAUUGUGCAAUAUCCCCCACUGCAGCCGCCCGUAGG